UGAAACACGGACCAAGGAGUCUAACAUAUGCGCGAGCUAAUGGGUGGAAAACCCAAAGGCGCAAUAAAAGUAAAAGCUGUUUCGGACAGCCAAGGUACGAUCCUAGGAUCCGAGCGAUCAUAGGCGCAGUACCGUCCCAUCCCGACCGCAUAUCGGUAGGGUGGAGAUAGAGUGCAUACGUUGGGACCCGAAAGAUGGUGAACUAUGCCUGAGCAGAGCGAAGCCAGAGGAAACUCUGGUGGAGGUUCGUAGCGGUUCUGACGUGCAAAUCGAUCGUCAGACUUGGGUAUAGGGGCGAAAGACUAAUCGAACCAUCUAGUAGCUGGUUCCCCCUGAAGUUUCCCUCAGGAUAGCUGAUACUCGUUAAAAAACGAAGUUUUAUCCGGUAAAGCGAAUGAUUAGAGGCAUUGGGGACGAAAUGACCUCAACCUAUUCUCAAACUUUAAAUGGGUAAGAAGUCGAGCUUGCUCGAUCGAAGCUCGACAUAAGAAUUCGAGUAUCAGUGGGCCAUUUUUGGUAAGCA
Molecule: ribosomal RNA, 523 nt
Filed under: Dorylaimus stagnalis
Lineage: Eukaryota; Metazoa; Nematoda; Enoplea; Dorylaimida; Dorylaimidae
Description: eukaryotic LSU rRNA
Rfam family: Eukaryotic large subunit ribosomal RNA
Source: RNAcentral